This 75-nucleotide transfer RNA is filed under the name Armatimonadota bacterium. Its description in RNAcentral is "Armatimonadetes bacterium (groundwater metagenome) tRNA-Thr". It matches the Rfam family "tRNA". Rfam says of the family: Transfer RNA (tRNA) molecules are approximately 80 nucleotides in length. The record is from RNAcentral. Lineage: Bacteria; Bacillati; Armatimonadota.
GCCUCCGUGGCGCAGUGGUAGCGCACGUUCUUGGUAAGAACGGGGUCAUGGGUUCGAGUCCCAUCGGAGGCUCCA